GAUGAACGCUGGCGGCGUGCCUAACACAUGCAAGUCGAGCGGACCCUUCGGGGUGAGCGGCGGACGGGUGAGUAACGCGUGGGUAACCUGCCCUAUAAACACGGAUAACGUACCGAAAGGUACGCUAAUACGGGAUAAAGUUGUUGGAGGGCAUCUUCCAACAAUCAAAGCUCCGGCGGUAUAGGAUGGACCCGCGUCUGAUUAGCUAUUUGGUGAGGUAAUGGCUCACCAAGGCGACGAUCAGUAGCCGACCUGAGAGGGUGAUCGGCCACACUGGAACUGAGACACGGUCCAGACUCCUACGGGAGGCAGCAGUGGGGAAUAUUGCACAAUGGGCGAAAGCCUGAUGCAGCAACGCCGCGUGAGCGAUGAAGGUCUUCGGAUCGUAAAGCUCUGUCCUCAAGGAAGAUAAUGACGGUACUUGAGGAGGAAGCCCCGGCUAACUACGUGCCAGCCGCCGCAGUAA
RNAcentral lists this ribosomal RNA (466 nucleotides) under uncultured bacterium. RNAcentral's name for it is "partial 16S ribosomal RNA". It matches the Rfam family "Bacterial small subunit ribosomal RNA", at positions 28 to 523 of the family's 1533-position model. The record is from RNAcentral.